UACGUAGGGCGCGAGCGUUGUCCGGAAUUAUUGGGCGUAAAGAGCUCGUAGGCGGCUUGUCGCGUCGGUUGUGAAAGCCCGGGGCUUAACCCCGGGUCUGCAGUCGAUACGGGCAGGCUAGAGUUCGGUAGGGGAGAUCGGAAUUCCUGGUGUAGCGGUGAAAUGCGCAGAUAUCAGGAGGAACACCGGUGGCGAAGGCGGAUCUCUGGGCCGAUACUGACGCUGAGGAGCGAAAGCGUGGGGAGCGAACAGGAUUAGAUACCCUGGUAGUCC
Molecule: ribosomal RNA, 273 nt
Filed under: uncultured Streptomyces sp.
Lineage: Bacteria; Bacillati; Actinomycetota; Actinomycetes; Kitasatosporales; Streptomycetaceae
Description: partial 16S ribosomal RNA
Rfam family: Bacterial small subunit ribosomal RNA
Source: RNAcentral